UCCGUAGGUGAACCUGCGGAAGGAUCAUUACCACGAGAGAGGGGAGGUCACGGCAGUGUCUCUCCCUACUCCCUCAACACUCUGUGAACGUGGCAUGUUAGUCUGGAGUGACGUCAUAUGGUGUACCAGCCGUAUGACGCCACCCCCGAGGUUGUGCUGCAGUAAGCUGUGGUACAAUCGCGGUCAACCACAACAUCCCAACACCAUGUAACCGGAGACGAACUAACCAAAAAGAAGGAGCCCGUGGCUGUGUUUAUACAGAGCACAGCGCAACGAGAACCAACGAUAGACAACUUUCAACGAUGGAUGUCUAGGCUCCCACGACGAUGAGGAACGCAGCGAAAUGCGAUACGUCAUGCGAAUUGCAGAACUCAGUGAAUCAUCAAAUCUUCGAACGCACGUUGCACCUCCGGGAAGCCGGGGGUAUGCUUGUUUCAGUGUCCGCCUCACCUCUCUGCCAGUACACACAUAAGUGUGUGUGUAUCAAGGCAAGGACAUUGAGUAUACACGGUGUCGUGUAUGUGGUAGGAAUACACAUUUACACGACACUGCGUGACUUGGAGAAGAGGAAGGAAGCACGUAUCUGUAGCGGAGUACGUAUGGCAGCCACAGGUUGUAGCAUGCGAAGCAUCGGAAGACGUGGUGUGGUGACCCACCGCCAAGUCGACUGGUGCGCGUAGUAUGUGUAGAAGCGACAUAUGGCGUAGCAUAGUGUGCAAGCAAGGAUAGGUGUGUAGUACCCUGAGCAGUGUACGACCCACAAGUGGAAGUACACGCUGACCGAACACAUGUAGAGUGUGGCUCUUACAGCUCGGACCUGAAAUCAAGCAAGAGGACCCGCUGGAUUUAAGCAUAUAACUAAGCGGAGGAAAAGAAACUAACAAGGAUUCCCCUAGUAACGGCGAGUGAAGCGGGACGAGCUCAAUCUCUGAAUCGGCGUGUGCGUCCAAGCACAGGCUGAGUUGUAGUGUAUGGAGGCGUUGCCAUGGCUCCAGCAGGACGAAGUCGCCAGGGACGGCGCGUCAGGGAGGGUGACAACCCCGUGAAUGUCUUGCACAUGGAAGUCAGUACGGUGCGUCUUCUCCGAGUCGAGUUGCUUGGGAAUGCAGCUCUAAGUGGGUGGUAAAUUCCAUCUAAAGCUAAAUAACAGUGGGAGACCGAUAGCGAACAAGUACCGUGAGGGAAAGAUGAGAAGAACUUUGAAAAGACAGUCAAACAGUACCUGAAAUCGUUGAAAGGGAAACGCUUGAAGU
This 1253-nucleotide ribosomal RNA is filed under the name uncultured fungus. Its description in RNAcentral is "eukaryotic LSU rRNA". The stretch from base 814 to 1253 matches the Rfam family "Eukaryotic large subunit ribosomal RNA", at positions 1 to 429 of the family's 3401-position model. Lineage: Eukaryota; Fungi. The record is from RNAcentral.